CCCUCUGUGGCGUAAUGGGUCAUUGUGUCUGGCUGUUAACCAGAAGGUUGGUGGUUCAAGCCCACCCAGGGGUG
Podarcis raffonei (Aeolian wall lizard) is the source of this 74-nucleotide non-coding RNA. Lineage: Eukaryota; Metazoa; Chordata; Lepidosauria; Squamata; Lacertidae. The record is from the annotation of a RefSeq genome assembly.